This 75-nucleotide transfer RNA is filed under the name Bartonella clarridgeiae. RNAcentral describes it as "tRNA-Val". It matches the Rfam family "tRNA". From Rfam's summary of the family: Transfer RNA (tRNA) molecules are approximately 80 nucleotides in length. Their secondary structure includes four short double-helical elements and three loops (D, anti-codon, and T loops). RNAcentral also lists the same sequence under 1 other name. The record is from RNAcentral. Lineage: Bacteria; Pseudomonadati; Pseudomonadota; Alphaproteobacteria; Hyphomicrobiales; Bartonellaceae.
GGGCGUGUAGCUCAGCGGGAGAGCACUACGUUGACAUCGUAGGGGUCACAGGUUCAAUCCCUGUCACGCCCACCG